Small nuclear RNA from Suricata suricatta (meerkat), 107 nucleotides. Lineage: Eukaryota; Metazoa; Chordata; Mammalia; Carnivora; Herpestidae. The record is from Ensembl.
GUGCUCACUGGAAGGAACAGCACAUAAACUAAAGUUGGAAUUAGAGAAGAUCAGCAUCACUUCUGCCUAAGGAUGACUUACAAAUUUGUGGAACAUCCCGUAUAUUU